GAUGAACGCUGGCGGCGUGCCUAAUACAUGCAAGUCGAGCGAAUGGAUUAAGAGCUUGCUCUUAUGAAGUUAGCGGCGGACGGGUGAGUAACACGUGAGUAACCUGCCCAUAAGACUGGGAUAACUCCGGGAAACCGGGGCUAAUACCGGAUAACAUUUUGAACCGCAUGGUUCGAAAUUGAAAGGCGGCUUCGGCUGGCACUUAUGGAUGGACGCGCGUCGCAUUAGCUAGUUGGUGAGGUAACGGCUCACCAAGGCAACGAUGCGUAGCCGACCUGAGAGGGUGAUCGGCCACACUGGGACUGAGACACGGCCCAGACUCCUACGGGAGGCAGCAGUAGGGAAUCUUCCGCAAUGGACGAAAGUCUGACGGAGCAACGCCGCGUGAGUGAUGAAGGCUUUCGGGUCGUAAAACUCUGUUGUUAGGGAAGAACAAGUGCUAGUCGAAUAAGCUGGCACCUUGACGGUACCUAACCAGAAAGCCACGGCUAACUACGUGCCAGCCGCCGCCGUAA
This 515-nucleotide ribosomal RNA is filed under the name uncultured bacterium. RNAcentral's name for it is "partial 16S ribosomal RNA". It matches the Rfam family "Bacterial small subunit ribosomal RNA", at positions 28 to 523 of the family's 1533-position model. The record is from RNAcentral.